Nicotiana tabacum (common tobacco) is the source of this 6748-nucleotide long non-coding RNA. RefSeq lists it as uncharacterized. NCBI's taxonomy places the organism in Eukaryota, Viridiplantae, Streptophyta, Magnoliopsida, Solanales, Solanaceae. The record is from RefSeq and is a predicted model, not a curated record.
AUUAACAGGUAUAAACUAUGAAAAAUUUUCAUUCAUUCAAUUCGCAUUGCUGGAACAAAAGGCAAAGGAGCCACUGCUUCAUUCCUCUCCAACUUGCUGAAUGCAGAAGGCUACUUUGUUGAUAUACUCGAUAGUAUAUGUUUAUCCUGAAGGGGAGACUUGGCGUAAGUGAUAAAGUUGCCGCCAGGUGAUCAGCAUGUCACGGGUUCGAGCUGUAGAAAUAGCCUCUUGUGGAAAUGUAGGGUAAGGCUGCGUACGAUAGACCCUUGUGGUCCAACCCUUCCCCGUACCCCGUGCAUAGCGGGCGCUUAGUACGCCGGGCUGCCCUUUUUUAGUAUAUAUUCUUGCUGCUGAUGUUGUUUAUUGGAAUACAAGUUUAGACCUUAGUAGAUAUUUGGUCUUCCUUUAUAAAUACAAAAUUUUCUUUGCCACUUGUGUUUCCAUCUAUUUUGUCUCUUCUACUAUCAUACAGGUUGGAUUAGGAUGAACACGAGAUGCAAUAAAUGUUACACUUGGUUCAUCCUUUUAGUUGAAUACUACUCAAAGGUUUAGCCUAAUGUGUUUGUUACUUUCUUGUGGUGGUAUGUUUUUUCAGACACGAGGCUAUUGGUUCAUGCCCCAGAUUCUACUUUGCUAAUUCCAUCCUCAAAAUUUCGGUUAUUGUUACGCAAUACAAACUUUAUCCAGUUUCAUGUUGAAUGGAAUUACUAUGACCUGCCAUUAACUUGUAAUGAUUGACGAUUAAAGGCUUCUAGAACUUGUUAUCAAACAUCUGAUCAUGUUCAUGACUUUGAAAAUUACUCUUUUGAAGUUAUAGUCGAAAAGUACUUUUCUAGAAGUUAUAAUACUACUAGACAGGUACCUAGUCUUAUAUUCUCAAUGAUAAAUGCAAGCAAGUCAAAAGAUGCAACUUCUAUAUGUACUCAGUGAGUACUACUCACCAAGUUGUCUCCUCGUUUCCUUACUUCAUGGUUUAAAUCUUUAGGCUCAUCUUCAAUUUCGUGAUCGCUAUAGAAUCAGUCCAGCAGGUUAUUUUCUUUGGAGUUUUAACGUCUUAGACGCUGGUAUUAUUUUCAUUAUGUCUUCCUGCAUCAAGGUGUACAAAAGCUUAGAAACUUAUGUUUGGUUACCAUUUUCUCAUGGCUGUCCUAAUUUCCAAGCUAAUUUGAUCUCAUCUUAUUUGCUGUUGGAUCAAUUAUGCUUUGUUUGUUUAACUUGUUUAACAUUUCAGCUGGUUUUAGGAGGUCUUUUCCUUUGGCAUAUUGAGUACACUCCUCGUAGGAAAUGUCUUCACCUAUAGUGCUAGCAUCUGAUCCUGGAAAUGAAAGGUUAUUGAGAGGUUUCUAUGAAGUGAGUGGCACACUUAUCAAUUGUCCGAUAUAGUGAUCCAAUGACUUACUGAUGGGGAUGCACUGAUUUUCAUAGGUUGUUCAUGCAUGAAAGAAUAAGUCUCUAUCUUUUUCUUAAUUCCAGUCUGUUAAUAUAACAAAAAUGCAAUUGCCUGCAUUUUCACAAAUAGUGUAGUCGAUUAACUUCUUGAUGUGAAAUUAUUCAUUCUUGGAUCUAUUUUUGAAAAUAUUUUAACUGCUACAUUUGCAGCAUUGUGCCUUAAUAAGCAAGGUUAGGACUCAAUUUCUUUACUCAUCACUUCAAUAACAAAUUCAAGUUGUUAGUUAUUAUGUUGAGAUGUAUAUUUAUUCAUUAAAUUACAAAUUCAAAACUCUUCGACUCCUUUGGAUAUGGAGAUCCUGACAUGCUUGUUUUUUUGUAUAAGAAGCAUUAAUGAUGUUUUGAUACUUCUAUUAAUUGAUUAAUUCAUACAUGCAUUCAUAUUUGUUUCCAGCAGGGCCUGCACAUGUGAGAUUGAUUCUUUGACCAAGCAGUUGGAGAGAUUCUUUUUAUAGAUGACAAAUGAGAGCAAUAUCAUGUUAAAUUGUGUCCAUCUCAUCUAAAUAUUUAAGUUGUUAGUUUGGUUCAAAUUCCAACCGAGAUAAAAAGAGCUAGGUGAUUUAUUCCCAUCCGUCUAAACUUUGUUCGAUAGAGUCAUCUAAUAACAAGUAAUCCAUGCUGGUGGAAGUUAGCAGGUAAGUAGUGUUAGUGUUUCUGACAUGAUGUCGGCGGAUGCACAAAAAUUCAUGAAUUACUAUGAGUAGAUGACUAUAAAGAUGUCAAUGAUGAAAGGGAAGAUCCUGAUUCUUGUAGUGGAACUAACCUGUAUUUGUCAGUUAAUUAUAGAGACUUCCGUUAAUAUGAAGAGCACCGACCAUUGGUUUUAAUAGAAGGGAGGAAAAAAUGAAAAGCUUCUUCAGGUUUAAAGUUGGUUUUUGACAUGCAGAUGCACAUGUUGAGAGGUAGUACUUCCUUUAAGAUUUUCCUUUUACAACAAUCUCAUCUCAGUUCAAGACCCUGUACCCCUUGUUCAAGAGAUUCUACAUCAAUGAAGCUAGUAUAUCUGUCUGCUAUAUAUGAUACUUCUGUCGUCCCUUCAUAUAUUUUUUCACCAAUCACUAAGUUGUCUUCUCUUUAUGUAUACAUUUUUUUUCUUUAUUUACAUUUUUAAUGGAACAAAAUUGAAGCAAAGAACCCUUGCAGGCAAUACGAUUCAGGCCUAGUUGUCAUUUUAUAUUAUGCCUGGGUAUGGAUAAUUGUAAGACUUAAAGAACCACUAGUUUUAUAGAACCCUAAUUUGUCUUAAACGACAAACAUCAUGUCUGGUUACUUACCGACAUUGGGAUGAAUUGGGUCCUGAUAUAGAGGAUUCAUAUCAGCUACUCCAUCUAGGUUGGGAUUGAGACGUAGUAGCUCGAUUGAUUUAUCCUUUUUUUUUCUCUUCAAUUCAAGCUAUAAUUUGAUCAGUCUUCUCCUCUAUUUUUCCUCAUCCUGUUACUCAGUUUCCUACUUUUCAAAAGCUCCUGUACCUCCAGUGAUGAAUAACUUCAGGAUAUUCGAGAUUCAGGCCCUUAUCACUGCUAUAGCACUGCUUGUUUAAGAUUGAUGCUUUAUAUGUUGACCCACUUCAAAUGAUAUUAAAGCAGUAUUCUAUUCGUAGACUUCCAAAGCUGAAUCCUUGCUAUAUAAACCACAUUAGGGAUGUGUCAAUAGGUUGUCAUCUGUUUCAGUCAGCCAUUCAUGUUGAUGAUCUUACCUGUUGAUGGAGCAUUAUGUUUGUGUUAGGAUCUUCCAAAGCCCUUGAUUGUUUGAGUUCUUAAAUGCGUUAGUAGGUUCAGAACCAUGAAAUUUCUGGUGCAAAUGGAAUAAGUCGAUGAUCACUUAGCUGUCACUUGGUUCGUAUGAACCUAAAACUGUUUACUUUAAUUAGACAAGUGAUAUUCCGAAUAUACUUAAGUUGUAAGUUCUUUUUACUUACGAUUCGCUGAAGUCCAUCUUACAUAAACUCUUCAUUUGCCUUGAUAUAUACACUUGUGCCAAACAGGUAUAACAUGGGUAUAGGUACUUCAUAUAGAUCCUUCAAGAUACACUAAAGUUUGCUAAAGGUUUAACCUAUCCAACCAAGUACUUACCAGUUACCUGUACAUGCUCAUAUCCAAGUUCAUGCAACAUAGUUUGAAACUUAUGUUCUCUAAUGUUCAGUUCUCUAGUUUGUGGAUAAGGGACAACAGGAAAAACUACUACACCUAAAAUGUAUAUCCUAAAUUGUGGACUUUUGUAUCAAGCACUAUAAGAAACCUAAAAAAGGUAGACUCUUGCGAGCAUAAUGGCAAUUUAUAAUGAUUAGCACAAGAAAAUAUUAGUAGCAAAAUUUUUAGAAAAAAAGAAGAUAACUAGUAAUACCUUUAUGAAAACAUUUGUAACAGGCUUUUUAUUCACGAAUAAUUAGAGGGUCCACCUUCCAUGAACACUCAUGUGAGAAUGCAAAAAAUCUAUUUAUUCACAAUGAUAUAAUGAGCCCUAUAUACAACACAUAUUCUAUUCUUAUAACAUAUAGGACUAAGACAUAUUCUACUCCUACUACAUAUGGGAUUAGGACAUAUUCUACUCCUACUACAUAUGGGACUAGAAUAUAUUCUAUUCCUAUUACAUAUGGAACUAGGACUAUUUACACAUAACUAUCUAACACUCCCCUCAAGCCAGUGCAUACAAAUCAUAUGUACCGAGCUUGUUACAUAUGUAACUAAUACGAGGAUAGGUGAGGGAGUUGGUGAAAAUAUCUGCAAGCUGAUCGUUCGAGAUACAAGGCCGCUAGAGCCCCCUGAGCAACAAAAUCAGGUGGUUGCUGAUAAACAGAAGUUGGCCGAAAGGUCGCCGGAAAAAUUUGAAAAAGUGAGACUAAACCGAAUUCCACACUACAAAAUAGAUUCUAAAACACCAGAGAAAACAAACUUUUCUGGAAAUUAUUGUUCACGCCGGAAAAAAUAAAAGUUGUCAGAAUUUGAUGUAAUUUAUAUGGAUAAGAUCGGAAUCAUUGGACGAGUAAGUUGUCCUGAAAAAGUUUUGUCAAGCUGGAAUGGCUUACACGCGCCGGAAAAGUUGUUGUAGCUCGUCGGAACCAGGGUUCCGGCAGCGCGUGGAGGCGCGUGAAGGACUUUCUUCUUGAGCGAUUGACUGUGGUUGUGUCGCCUGACUUUUUCGAACCAAAUGGUAGUGUUGGUUUUUGCACAACACUUAUUGAUGGGGAGAUAACGCAAAUCAAUCUUGAGUCGUCAACCGAAAAGACACACGGUGGCUGACUUUUCUGUUCCAAUGGGACUGGAAUUUCUGGGGUUUGGUCGCACAAGGGUUUCUGAUCUAAUGGUGGUACUAGUAUAUGCACAAUACCGGUGUAGCAGUGAUAAACCCGGGGAACAAGACGAAGUUGUCGGAAAAUUGCAUGGCGAUGAGAUCUUUCUUCCCGGAUGUCACUAGAAUGACGCACAACGAUAAUUUUCUCACUAGAGCUCUGAUACCAUGUGAGAAUGCAUGGGAGAAAAAUUUAUUUAUUAACAAUGAUGCAAUGAGCCCUAUAUACAAUACAUAUUCUACUCCUACGACAUAUAGGACUAGGACAUAUUCUACUCCUACUACAUAUGGGACUAGACAUGUUCUACUCCUACUACAUAUGGGACUAGGACAUAUUCUAUUCCUAUUACAUAUGAGACUUGGACUAUUUACACAUAACUAUCUAAUAACUCAUUUACGGGAUUGAUAAUAGUGACUGAAGCCUUGAGGCAUGAUUAAAUCCAAGACUUGUUCAUCUGAUCAAGCUAGAUCUCUUUAUGUUAUAUAACUGGAGUUAGAAUUGAACAGAAAAUGAAUAUUGAUGGAAUCAGUUUAAAUUGUUGCAUUCUGUGAAAAUACCUUUACUUGUCACAUUUCUAUGGAGAUUUUAUUCAGUCGUAAUCCGCCUUUAGCUGUUCAAUUUUGGUUUUUCAAUAAUCAAGACAGGUAUCUCAGUGUUUCUUCGGAAUGAUCAUACUACUAUGGUUUGCAGAAGUUAGAGUGCUUGCUAGUUCACGACUCAUUAUUACUCUAGUUUUAUUAGGAUUUAUCUUUAAUAUGGUGAGAUGGAGAAGUUCUGUUUCUUUCUAAAAAAAGAUAUGGUGCAGAUGGAGAAAUAUGAAAAGAUGUCACCCCCCCCUAUUUAGUAGGGUAAGUUUGAGGUUUUACAUUACCUUAUAGGAGUAAUAAAGAAAGUUUAUUGAGGUUUCACUUUAAUUUACCUUAUUUAAAAAAAAGUUUAUUGAGGUUUCACUAUCUUUGCUUUAGGGUCCCGAUGUCAAGACAUUCUGCUAUAUGGUGUGGGGCUAGGAAUGAGAGCUUGGAAUUACAUGGUGCCAACCACCUUAGUUGCUCACUAGUCGCCAUCACCUAAAGGCUGAAGGAAACCCUCAUUGAAAUUACCCCUCUAGAUAACUAAAAGGGCAGCUUCCAGGAAAGAAAUUAAUCAUAUUCUUGACAAUACAAUCAUCUUUCUUGCACAUUUGCAUUAUGUACCUUUUGCAUGUGACUUACCCGUUUAUGUUGAUUGGAAGUUAGACAUCAAAGAUGAAGGACACAUAAACUAGAAAAUUGAGUAUGGUUGGGUUAGACAUAGCAGCUCGAGUGGAAAGAUGUGUAUUUUUUUAAUUGGCAUUUUAUUUUUGCACGUAAAGUGUCAUGAUGUUGGCUCAGUGCAUUACAAAAAGAAUUAGGACAUACCAAAGACAAGAAAAACAAAUGCAUUUAAGUGCUUGUUUGAGGUGUGCGUCAGUUUUUGUAUGGUUUUCUUAAGGACUGAAGGAGCGGAGGGCCCUAAAAGGUUCUUACUCUCAAAAGAUUGGUGAAUGCACAAAAUUGAGAUACAAGAUUGACAGAUGAGGAAGGGGGCUUGAACUAGCAAAGCAUAAACACAGUCCUCCAACCGUUACAGGGAAGGAUGGGGACAGGACAUCCAAAUGGGACAUGGAAAUCUAUAUAACAAUCAAGGUUGCAGUAUAUGCUAACUAAUGCAUCACUCCCUCUGCCCUUAACAAGACAUUCAUUUCCCUAUUGGAGUACUAAGCUUUACUUACUUCCACUUGGACAAAAAAUGAAAAUAUAAAAAGAGAAAACGAUAACUACCUUUUUAUAGUUGGCCGCCAACUUUUGAAAUAGAAUUGAAAAUUUUUAUGACAAAAAGAUGAGCUCAAAUUUGGAAAUCCUUGAUAGUGGAAAACUGAAAAGUUGGUGAUGUGCACGAUGUAUCAAUUAUGUCUCAAUUUCAAACUAAUUGAGAUUGUUUGUAUGAAUUAUUUAUUUUCAUUAUAUUCUAUUUGGACCAGUCUUGAUCUAA